This 92-nucleotide transfer RNA is filed under the name Vulcanisaeta souniana JCM 11219. Its description in RNAcentral is "tRNA-Thr". It matches the Rfam family "tRNA". From Rfam's summary of the family: Transfer RNA (tRNA) molecules are approximately 80 nucleotides in length. Their secondary structure includes four short double-helical elements and three loops (D, anti-codon, and T loops). Further hydrogen bonds mediate the characteristic L-shaped molecular structure. tRNAs have two regions of fundamental functional importance: the anti-codon, which is responsible for specific mRNA codon recognition, and the 3' end, to which the tRNAs corresponding amino acid is attached (by aminoacyl-tRNA synthetases). tRNAs cope with the degeneracy of the genetic code in two manners: having more than one tRNA (with a specific anti-codon) for a particular amino acid; and 'wobble' base-pairing, i.e. permitting non-standard base-pairing at the 3rd anti-codon position. The record is from RNAcentral. Lineage: Archaea; Thermoproteati; Thermoproteota; Thermoprotei; Thermoproteales; Thermoproteaceae.
GCCCCGGUAGCUCAGCCCGGUCUGGAGCGCCCGCCUUGUAGGCUAACCGAGAGAGCGGGAGGUCCCGGGUUCGAAUCCCGGCCGGGGCUCCA